CGAACGGCUCAGUAACACGUAGUCAACCUGCCCUCAGGUCGAGAACAAUCUCGGGAAACUGAGGCUAAUUCUCGAUAAAUCAAUAUUCCUGGAAUGGGUUUUGGUCGAAAGGGAGCAACAGCAUCUUGCUGUUUCGCCCGAGGAUGGGACUGCGGCCGAUCAGGCUGUUGGUGAGGUAAAGGCUCACCAAACCAGUAACCGGUACGGGCUUUAAGAGAAGGAGCCCGGAGAUGGACACUGAGACAAGGGUCCAGGUCCUACGGGGCGCAGCAGGCGCGAAACCUUCGCAAUGCGCGCAAGCGCGACGAGGUUAUUCCGAGUGAUUUCCGCUGAGGAAAUCUUUUCUUAGAUCUAAAAAGUCUGGGGAAUAAGGGGUGGGCAAGUCUGGUGUCAGCCGCCGCGGUAAUACCAGCACCUCGAGUGGUCAGGACGAUUAUUGGGCCUAAAGCAUCCGUAGCUGGUUUUGCAAGUCUCCGGUUAAAUCCACCUGCUUAACAGAUGGGCCGCUGGAGAUACUACAAGACUAGGGAGUGGGAGAGGCAGACGGUAUUCGGGGGGUAGGGGUAAAAUCAUUUGAUCCUUUCAGGACCACCACUGCCGAAGGCGGUCUGCCCCAACACAUUCGACAGUGAGGGAAGAAAGCAGGGGGAGCAAACC
This 657-nucleotide ribosomal RNA is filed under the name uncultured archaeon. RNAcentral's name for it is "bacterial SSU rRNA". It matches the Rfam family "Archaeal small subunit ribosomal RNA", at positions 82 to 725 of the family's 1478-position model. The record is from RNAcentral.